UCCCUGCCACAAACGACGAGAUUCCCAUGGCCUCACUCCUGACCACAGUGGGCAUGAGCUCGCCCGCAUAGACAUAAAUGACGGCAAAAGAGGCGGCAAUUUGGAACUUUCCAAUCAUAGCCAGAGUGACUGUAAUCCAAGCUCAAAAGCCACCUAGGACUCUCAGGUACAAACCACCAAUAGCUAUUGAGACAAAAAUAGUGAGAAUGAAUUUAAACCAUUGGGACAGCAUUUGUUAUCGAUGUGGUAGUAGUUACCUAAAAAGCAGCACGAACGGAACAGAAGUGACGAGGGCCAGCUCAAACCAAGAGUUGAAAAUGUACGCCAAUCCUGCCAAAACCAUGAGGGCCACGGCGAAGAAGAGACAAAUCAUCAUGCCCGCAAAAGUCCGAUAGCCUGGACCCAUGGUCUCCAGGGCUGAAACACAUGGACGCAAUUGGCACUUCAAUUUUCUUCCAAGGUAAGAAGAGCUUGACAAAUGGAUGGAGUCACACGCCAAACAACAAACUUUCAAUUUCUACUCCUGAUCGAAGUCACAACUCACUCUGGUUUCUUUACUGGACUGCUGUUACUGCAGAGGCACAGCUUGAAAACUCGUUAGUGGUCAAGAGGAGGAAGAAGGAAAGAGAAAGGAAGCCGAAUCAUCCUCCUUAACUCUUGGGUGACCUCGCCUGGUUAUCAGGGUAGUCUUCAGCCUCAGUCAGAGUCUCAUUGCAUCAGUCAGUGAUGGUAUUGUAACAAUUGGGAAGAGUUGUGGAAGUCCUAAGUGGAACGUGGACCACGCUUCAAACUGAAACCGGUUUCUUAAAAAUUGAGAGAUGUUCACCAUUCCAAAUCACAAUAUGUAAAUAGAAACAUUUGUACUUCAUUCGCCAUUUUAUGAAACUAUCAUUUGACAUUCAUUGUUAGUUUAUGAAGCAAAAUGAAAAGAAAUAUAGA
Tigriopus californicus is the source of this 939-nucleotide long non-coding RNA. RefSeq lists it as uncharacterized. The transcript is spliced from 4 exons. Lineage: Eukaryota; Metazoa; Arthropoda; Copepoda; Harpacticoida; Harpacticidae. The record is from RefSeq and is a predicted model, not a curated record.